UUCUUAGUUUGUAACAAUUAGGUGACAGAUACUUUUUUAUUUAGUACAUGAAUUGUGACGAGCAUUAAAGAAUGGAUGACGUUAUUCGGUUAUAUGUAAUUAAACCACUGUUGUCUGUUUUUCUUUUCUUGCUUCGCAAAUAAUCCACUGUGAGAGAUAUACCAUAAUCAUUUAAGUUAGAUGUGGACAAUGACUGCACAUGCUAACUACUUCUUGGGGCCGUGUUUGUAACAAUUAGGUGACAAAUACUUGUUUAUUUAGUCCAUGAAUUGUGACAAGCAUUAAAGAAUGGAUGACGUUAUUCGGUUAUAUGUAAUUAGAAGUAGGGUUUAUGUGAAAAUCAUUAUUAACUGUGUUUGGUGAUAAGGUUGUACAAGAUUAGAUUUAUUGAGUUGCUGAAUAUAAUUGUAUGCGUUUGUGUGAUAAGGUUGUACAAGAUUAGAUUUAUUGAGUAACUGAAUAUAAUUGUAUGUGUUUGUGUGAUAAGGUUGUACAAGAUUAGAUUUAUUGAGUAGCUGAAUAUAAUUGUAUGUACAACUUGGAAAUGGAAUUAUGGUGGAUAAACAUAUAUUUACUCGACUCAUUGAAAUUUGGUAUUAUGAAAUUAUGAUGUAAAUUAUGAUGUAUAAACAAGUAUUUACUUGAGUCAUUGAGAUUUGGCUUUAUAAAAUCAUGGUGGAU
This 681-nucleotide long non-coding RNA is filed under the name Amborella trichopoda. RNAcentral describes it as "long non-coding RNA (ATRI_LNC004164)". The record is from RNAcentral. Lineage: Eukaryota; Viridiplantae; Streptophyta; Magnoliopsida; Amborellales; Amborellaceae.